GCCAUGUCUAGAGUAGGAGGUGGAUGGCGGCUCCAUCUUGGGGAGUGAGUGGGUCUGCGGGUAUGAAUGGAGCUGGGAGAUCUACCAGCCUGAAUAACAAAGGGAGACACCCACACCCAAGGACUUGCUAGUGUCACAGCUGGGGUCUAAGUCUACAGGGGAGGGUGUGCCUCUCACAGUUCCCUUCUAAAUCCUCAGAGCCCCUUUUGGCAUCUGCGUUGAACACUCUGCUCUCUCUUGACCCCCAAUCCAUUGCAAGAAGCCAGUAAACACUCAGAAGAAGUCUGUCAGUCCAGCUCUAUAGUGGUUUUAGUAAUCCACUAUCAGAUGCUAGGUUUUGAAGUGACAUUGGGGAUUUAAAGGAUUCUGUCCCUUGUGGAUGAAGUUGACUGCACUUGAAUGAACAAUGAUGUAUGAAGACCUUUAAAAAGAGCAGCACCCAUGAUAGAACUUCAGCACUAUUUUGAGCAUCAAACCCUUCAGGAUGAAAUGGAGCAGACUUCACUAAGUCAAAUGGGAACACAGGUAUACACCAUCCAGCUCUAUUUAAACACCAGAGAUGCACAAAGAAGAAGAAUAUAUAUGAGCUUACAUAAUGAGGUUUUAGUGAGAUUUCAUGAACAAGUCAAGCCAAAUCAGCAAGAAUUGACUGAGCACUCUAAGUGCAAGAGUGUUGAUGAAAAUGCUGAAUUCACUGUAGGACCUAGAAAGCUGUUCUAUUCACAGAGAAAUACUCCAGCCUCCAGGUUUGGUCCCAGAGGACUUGAAGGAGAUGGUAUGGUCCAAUGUGAGAUGGUCCCAUUGGACCCUGCCAUCAUUAAAGCAUCUUGGGAGUCCUGUUGGAGCACUUAGGCAAAGAUGAGAACUGAGUGGAAAGCAGGAAAUUUGCUGUGAAAGGCUUAGUCCAAAAAUAUCAAACGGUUGGCCUAGAAUAAUUUUUCCCCCAAAUUGAAGUUCAGUAAAUCAAUUAGUGAAUCACAACCCUACAUAUUUUUUUUAAAAAUAAUGUCUAUAGAAGAGCAUGGUUUUCUUUAAAAAAAAAAAAAAAGCAUAUCACAAAUAGCCUAAACUUAUUUCAUAAAAUGUGUAUUAAAAUUAGGAAGGGGUAGGGCCGGGGAUUUAGCUCAAUGGUUCCGCCACCUGCCUUGCAAGCGGAAGGACCCGAG
Molecule: long non-coding RNA, 1166 nt
Filed under: Heterocephalus glaber (naked mole-rat)
Lineage: Eukaryota; Metazoa; Chordata; Mammalia; Rodentia; Bathyergidae
Description: lncRNA (ENSHGLG00100047479.1)
Source: RNAcentral